Molecule: transfer RNA, 77 nt
Filed under: Streptosporangium nondiastaticum
Lineage: Bacteria; Bacillati; Actinomycetota; Actinomycetes; Streptosporangiales; Streptosporangiaceae
Also listed under: 6 other names
Description: tRNA-Arg
Rfam family: tRNA
About the family: Transfer RNA (tRNA) molecules are approximately 80 nucleotides in length.
Source: RNAcentral
GCGCCCUUAGCUCAGCUGGAUAGAGCACCGGACUUCUAAUCCGACGGUCGCAGGUUCGAAUCCUGCAGGGCGCGCCA